This 547-nucleotide long non-coding RNA is filed under the name Lynx canadensis (Canada lynx). Its description in RNAcentral is "lncRNA (ENSLCNG00005016920.1)". The record is from RNAcentral. Lineage: Eukaryota; Metazoa; Chordata; Mammalia; Carnivora; Felidae.
CCAAACUAAGUUUCCUGGAUUUGGACUGUUAUGGAUGAUGAUAAUGAUCAUGGAUAUGGAAUGACAACUCUAAAGUGCUCCUAGUCUGGCCCAGAGGAUGGGAGGUGUUCUAGGGUGUUACAUGUUGGACAAGAAAGAAACUGCUGAGCCACCUGGAAAUGAUUCUGGACAUAUGGUAUAAACUUGAUGCAAAUUUUCUGAACAUCUAUUACCACAAGGAAUGACCAAUAGUGUUAAUAUUUUUUUGUCUUAAACCCAAUCCUACAUCAUUAAUUGUGUGAAAUAAAGCCACCAUAGAAACUCCCAUAUCAUAGAGUAUCAUGGGGACUUAAUUUUUUCUAAUUACUGAUGUGAUAUGUGUGGGGUUCAGAGAUUUUGAAAAAUAUAGCCAAUAUGUAAAAGGAGCCAUUGCUAAAAUUUGGUUAUAGAGUUUCUAAGAUUUUGUUCUUUGUUUAUAUGUACAGAUUUUAAGCAAAUGUAGAAACAUAUUGCUUUGUUACUUUUUCUUUAACAUAAUAAUACUGUAUAUUGACCAGUGUUUUCUGUG